UCGGUUCGUCGGUAAGCGUGACCACAUGUGACAACAGCGAUGCUAGUUGGAUAUAAAAUUGGUAGACGUGUCGUUGAACUCGACACAUUGACCGAAUCGCUUUUAGCAUGCAGUGCUUGUCAAGUGCCCAUGAAUUUACUUAACACUGUAGAAAGCAGGGAUUUCGGACAGGCAUGUGUUUUGGACAUACAGUUUAGCAAUUGUGGUGCAGUAAAUAAUGUGGCUACUGGACGGAAACAUGGCAGAGUUUAUGACAUGAUCACAAAGCUUGCAUUUGGGUAAAUCAAAAACUGGGUGUUUCACCUGGGACUUUCACAUCGAAACUGGCCUUUCUCCAUGACCUUCAGCACAAAAAAAGAAAGGCUAUAGCUGUUACUCGUGCAGCAAAACAGUGACGCAUAAGACUUAAAACUCGAACGGCAUUCAAAGGACAGUGCAAGAAGUACGAGUGGGACCAACAUACAGUUCAAACAUAGAGGACCAAGACGUUGAAGUUACAACUAUACCCCCACCUAUACCCAAGCCUGGUCAAGCAGGGCUAGACACUACUUGGAAGGAAUUUGUUUUCUUUGAUUUGGAAACAAGAGGGUUAGAGCACACUUCUCACAUAAUUCAGAUAGCUGCAGUGCAUUCAACUGGUCAAUUUUCAACAUAUGUGAUGCAUGAGAAGAAGAUUUCCUUGCAAGCGUCAGAAAUAACUGGAGUGACAGUUGUUAGCGACUCUAUGCUUGUCAAGAGACAAACAGUAACAGCUGUCCCCAUCAAAUCUGCAUUGACAAGUUGUAUAACAUUCUUACAGAAAUGUUCACCAAUUAUUUUAGUUGGGCAUAAUAUAGAGUCUUUUGAUUGUAAAGUGUUGCUCCGUGCUAUCCAUACUUGUUGAAAAAUGUUUGAGUUUCAGCAAAAUAUUUGUGGCUUUUUAGAUACUUAAAAAUGUUAAAGGAAAUAUUACCAAAUAUGAAAUCAUAUAAGCGGGAACAUUUAGUUAAAGACGUCAUUAGUGAAUUAUACAUGGCACAUGGCGCUAUACAGGAUAUUUUAGCUUUACAAAAGUUAGUGAACUUUGUUCCUCUUGACCAAAAAUUGUUAACAAAUAUUCAUUCAGCUUUUACCGAGCAGUGUUAACAUACAAUGUGUAACUAAAGGUUGCUUCCAACAUCAAAUCUUUACAAACCAUAAUUGAUACAAAAUUUAUAAGUCAAGGUGUUGCAAGGAAAGUUGCAGGAAGUGGAUUUCAACUUAAACAUUUGAGUCCUGUAUCAAAAAGAAACGGACUGAGUGGUUUGAGGA
This is an RNA transcript of Dreissena polymorpha, 1290 nucleotides long. RefSeq lists it as uncharacterized. The transcript is spliced from 4 exons. Lineage: Eukaryota; Metazoa; Mollusca; Bivalvia; Myida; Dreissenidae. The record is from RefSeq and is a predicted model, not a curated record.